This 275-nucleotide ribosomal RNA is filed under the name uncultured bacterium. RNAcentral's name for it is "partial 16S ribosomal RNA". It matches the Rfam family "Bacterial small subunit ribosomal RNA", at positions 399 to 691 of the family's 1533-position model. The record is from RNAcentral.
GCGUGAGUGAUGAAGGCCUUAGGGUUGUAAAGCUCUUUCGGCGGGGACGAUAAUGACGGUACCCGCAGAAGAAGCCCCGGCUAACUUCGUGCCAGCAGCCGCGGUAAUACGAAGGGGGCUAGCGUUGUUCGGAAUUACUGGGCGUAAAGCGCACGUAGGCGGAUGUCUAAGUCGGGGGUGAAAGCCUUGGGCUCAACCCAAGAAUUGCCUUCGAUACUGGAUAUCUUGAGACCGGGAGAGGUGAGUGGAAUUCCGAGUGUAGAGGUGAAAUUCGU